AUUGAACGCUGGCGGCAUGCCUUACACAUGCAAGUCGAACGGCAGCAUGAUCUUGCUUGCUAGAUUGAUGGCGAGUGGCGAACGGAUGAGUAAUACAUCGGCACGGGACCUGUAGUGGGGGAUAACUAGUGGACAGAUUAACCAAUAACGCAUACGACCUGAGGGUGAAAGUGGGGGACAGCAAGGCCUCUUGCUAUAGGAGAGGCCGAAGUCGGAUUAGCUAGUUGGUGGGGUAAAGGCCUACGAAGGCGACGAUCAGUAACUGGUCUGAGAGGAUGAUCAGUCACACUGGAACUGAGACACGGUCCAGAGUCCUACGGGAGGCAGCAGUGGGGAAUAUUGGACAAUGGGCGAAAGCCUGAUCCAGCUAUGCCGCGUGUGUGAAGAAGGUUUUCGGAUUGUAAAGCACUUUAAGUUGGGAGGAAGGGCAGUAAGUUAAUACCUUGCUGUUUUGACGUUACCAACAGAAUAAGCACCGGCUAACUUCGUG
This 490-nucleotide ribosomal RNA is filed under the name uncultured bacterium. RNAcentral describes it as "partial 16S ribosomal RNA". It matches the Rfam family "Bacterial small subunit ribosomal RNA", at positions 30 to 507 of the family's 1533-position model. The record is from RNAcentral.